UCUGCCCUAUGAUUAAUUAAAUGGCCGCAGUAUCUUGACUGUGCAAAGGUAGCAUAAUCAUUUGUUUUUUUAUUGAAAACUGGAAUGAAAGAGUCGACGAAAAAUAGCCUUUUGGUUUAUAAAAUUAAAUUAACAUAAAGGUCCAAAGGCCUUUAAAACUCAAAAAGACGACAAGACCCUAUAAAACUUUACUAUUAAAAAAUAGUUAAACUGGGGCGGUUAAUACUAAAACUGUAUAAUAAAAAAUAUAUAACAUAAAAUUUAAUAACUUAAUGUCUAAAAAAUAUUGAACAAGUUACUUUAGGGAUAACAGCAUAAUUUUCUCAAAGAGCCCAAAUCGACGAGAAAGCUUAUGACCUCGAUGUUGAAUUGAAAACCCUCAUGUAAGCAGCAAUAUUUAGAGGUAGUCUGUUCGACUAUUAAAUUUUC
Molecule: ribosomal RNA, 429 nt
Filed under: Bragasellus rouchi
Lineage: Eukaryota; Metazoa; Arthropoda; Malacostraca; Isopoda; Asellidae
Description: partial 16S ribosomal RNA
Rfam family: Bacterial large subunit ribosomal RNA
Source: RNAcentral